Molecule: long non-coding RNA, 207 nt
Filed under: Elaeis guineensis (African oil palm)
Lineage: Eukaryota; Viridiplantae; Streptophyta; Magnoliopsida; Arecales; Arecaceae
Description: long non-coding RNA (EGUI_LNC036543)
Source: RNAcentral
GGCCGGCAUAUCUCAUCUAGGUGCAACUCUAUUCCUAUAAUGGAUCUACUGUAACUAACAUAUAUUGAAAAGUUCUGAAUGAUUAGAUAACCAAGCGAUUGUGCAGUCAAACUAUAGCAACCUUACUGUGAACAGUCGAGACACCAUAGGUCAAAGAAUUAUCUACACAACUACAACAUCGAGUAAGUUACUGAUAAGUAGAUAGCC